UAAGUAAUUCAUGUUCUCAAAAUCAUUAUUACUUAGUUAUAGGUCUACGAAACACAUGCAUACAUAAGAACAUUUCAAAUAAUUAUAUCUCACAGGCAAGUCAUAAGCCACAUCACAAGUGCUUGAAUAUUUAUAGAUCCCAAGCAAUAAAACAAAAGAGCUUGAGGUCCUUGGACCACUUACAACAAUCCCAUAUUCGCACCUCUUUUUUAGUUUCUAGACUUCAUGGCUUUAAUCGCCCUUAUGAAAUGUGUCAGUAUGAAGCAACUAAUAUCCAGUUGCAAACAACAAAAGGGUUCCAUCAAUAA
This is a non-coding RNA of Vicia faba (fava bean), 308 nucleotides long. Lineage: Eukaryota; Viridiplantae; Streptophyta; Magnoliopsida; Fabales; Fabaceae. The record is from the annotation of a GenBank genome assembly.